RNAcentral lists this ribosomal RNA (253 nucleotides) under uncultured bacterium. RNAcentral describes it as "partial 16S ribosomal RNA". It matches the Rfam family "Bacterial small subunit ribosomal RNA", at positions 524 to 776 of the family's 1533-position model. The record is from RNAcentral.
GACAGAGGGUGCAAACGUUGCUCGGAAUUACUGGGCGUAAAGCGCGUGUAGGUGGAUUGGUGUGUCAGAUGUGAAAUCCCUGGGCUCAACCCAGGAACUGCACCUGAAACUACCAGUCUUGAGUGGUGGAGAGGGGAGUGGAAUUCCUGGUGUAGAGGUGAAAUUCGUAGAUAUCAGGAGGAACACCGGUGGCGAAGGCGGUGGUCUGGGCCGGCACUGACGCUGAGGAGCGAAAGCGUGGGGAGCGAACAGG